UACAGAGGGUGCAAGCGUUUGUUCGGAAUUAUUGGGCGUAAAGCGCGUGUAGGCGGCUUUGCAAGUCGGGUGUGAAAGCCCUCAGCUUAACUGAGGAAGUGCGCCCGAAACUGCAGAGCUUGAGUACCGGAGAGGGUGGCGGAAUUCCCCCAAGUAGAGGUGAAAUUCGUAGAUAUGGGGGAGGAACACCGGUGGGCGAAGGCGGCCACCUGGACGGAUACUGACGCUGAGACGCGAAAGCGUGGGGUAGCAAACAGG
This 258-nucleotide ribosomal RNA is filed under the name uncultured bacterium. RNAcentral's name for it is "partial 16S ribosomal RNA". It matches the Rfam family "Bacterial small subunit ribosomal RNA", at positions 524 to 776 of the family's 1533-position model. The record is from RNAcentral.